CCUACGGGUGGCAGCAGUGGGGAAUAUUGCACAAUGGGGGGAACUCUGAUGCAGCGACGCCGCGUGAGUGAAGAAGGAUUUCGGUAUGUAAAGCUCUAUCAGCAGGGAAGAAAAUGACGGUACCUGACUAAGAAGCACCGGCUAACUACGUGCCAGCAGCCUCGGUAAUCCGUCGGGGGCAAGCGUUAUCCGGAUUUCCUGGGUGUAAAGGGGGCGUAGACGGUUAUGUAAGUCAGAAGUGAAAGACCAAGGCUCAACCAUGGGACUGCUUUGAAAACUGUAGAACUGGAGUGCAGUUGAGGUAAGCGGAAUGCCUAGUGUAGCGGUGAAAUGCGUAGAUAUUAGGAGGAACUCCAGUGGCGAAGGCAGCUUACUAAACUGUAACUGACGUUGAGGCUCGAAGGCGUGGGGAGCAAACAGGAUUAGAUACCCCUGUAGUC
Molecule: ribosomal RNA, 440 nt
Filed under: uncultured bacterium
Lineage: Bacteria
Description: partial 16S ribosomal RNA
Rfam family: Bacterial small subunit ribosomal RNA
Source: RNAcentral